Molecule: long non-coding RNA, 1053 nt
Organism: Bos taurus (domestic cattle)
Lineage: Eukaryota; Metazoa; Chordata; Mammalia; Artiodactyla; Bovidae
Source: Ensembl
GGCCCUGACCAAGCAGCACCCACUCCUCUCUUGGGUCUUGCUCCCUCCCAGGGGCACUGCUGAGAAGCUGGACACAGAUCUCCUUUGCUCUAGGGACCCAUCAAACUUACCUCUGCUAGUCUGGGAAAUGUUUGUUCAGCAGCUGUGAUUUUGGUGUGUUCCUGAAAGGAGGUGUGGUCAAAGUCCAUCUCCUCUGUCGUCUUGGCCUCUCUCCCACCUCAACAACAGUUUUAAAACAUUUGUGCCAAGAGCUGCAAAAAUAAAGGUCCAAAACUCGGUGUUGAAAAAGAAGGGGGAAAGUCACACAGGUGUCAGAACUUGCAGGGACUCAGCAGGUCCCGCUGCUGGAAUGGGGCUGAUGAAGUCUUUGGAAAGUUUUUGGCUCUUCAUGGCUGCCAACUCUGAGUUGUCAGCAAAGCCUUGGGUGGAGACCCGAGGUCGUUUUUGACGGUCAAGGCCAGCAUCAGGAAAAAGGGAAAGGUCAAAGCCAAGCCCCCAGCCACCCCUGGGGUCCAACCGUAAAGGAAUUCCUCGUUCGAGUGGUGCCCAGAUCUCUGUGUUCCUGAGUCACUGCCUGGAGGUGAACGGAGAGGCCAGAAAAGACUCUUCAGAGUACAGCCUCCUGUUGCUCCUGCAGCCAGCGCGCAGGGAUGCACGUGUGUGCAGCUCACCGCUCUGCACUUGGGUGCCAAUCAUUUGUUUUUUAAGAAGCAUCAGUCUUUUCCAGUGAGUCGGCUCUUCCCAUCAGGUGGACAAAGUAUUGGAGCUUCAGCAUCAGUCCUUCGGUCAAUAUUCAGGGUUGAUUUCCUUUAGGAUUGACUGGUUGGAUCUCCUUGCAGUCCAGGGGACUCUCAAGAGUCUUCUCUAGCACCACAGUUCAAAAGCAUUAAUUCUUUGGUGCUGAGCCUUCUUUAUGGUCCAAUUCUCAUGUCUGUACAUGACUACUGGUAUUACAGCAUAAUGAUUAAGAGCAUAGACUCUGGAUAAGACAUAAUCUAUGUGACCUUGGAUAAGUUAUUUAACUUCUCUGUAUCUCAGUUUCCUCAUUAGUAG